Long non-coding RNA from Saccostrea cuccullata (small rock oyster), 650 nucleotides. RefSeq lists it as uncharacterized. The record is from RefSeq and is a predicted model, not a curated record. The transcript is spliced from 4 exons. Lineage: Eukaryota; Metazoa; Mollusca; Bivalvia; Ostreida; Ostreidae.
CAAGCUUCAACAUCAAUAAAAUCUCCAGCACAUUUACAGCCUGUAUUGUAAACUACACUGAAAACAUACUUUACACACAAUUUUCAGCUCAGUAUUAUGUUAUCCUCUUCAUUCAAGUAAUAUGUAAACUCUUCUCGAAUGUAAAACGAACGAUCUACUCUUAACAGUAACCCAAAUAUGGCACUGUGUAUUCGGUUGAAUAGCCAAUCAUUUCAAAUCAAGUUGAGCGGGUCUGCAUCGUUAUUUUGACGAAGUUUGAAACCAGUGGUAAUUUUUUGGCACUUCAUCUAGAUUUGAGAAGAUUCUUGCCUUGACAACUGCUCGAACUCCCGGGUUGGCAUGCUCUGAAGGUAUAGUGAAUUCAGUAUGCAGAUUGUUGAAGGGAAAACAUCAAGACGGGGCGAGGAAGACAACAAAACAUGAUUACCCAGAUUGAGGAUCCCAGUGUUCUUUGCAUGAUUGUCAUCUUCAAUUUGAGGGACUCUCACCUAAAGUCCUUUUACUGUUCCAUAUCAGGAAAAAGUUCAUGAGCUGAAACAUGCGAUUGGGGAAAAAGGAAAAGCAUUAGGAAAAUGCCUGCAUGGGGAGAAAAGUUUUGAACUCUGAAAAGGGAGGUGUGACAAAAACAUUUUGACAGUUGUUCAGUACCC